This 183-nucleotide non-coding RNA is filed under the name human gut metagenome. RNAcentral's name for it is "Lysine riboswitch". It matches the Rfam family "Lysine riboswitch aptamer". Rfam says of the family: Riboswitches are metabolite binding domains within certain messenger RNAs that serve as precision sensors for their corresponding targets. The record is from RNAcentral.
UUGAUAGAGGUGCGGAUAAAAAGAGUAGCGCGGCGGACGUUCAAAAGAAUGUCGGGUGUUUUCGGAAACGGCGGCGCGAAAGGUGAAUCCGCCGAGGAACACGUGUUCCGAAACGCGCUGAUUCCGGUUGUGCGUGAAAUACGCGUAUGACUGUCAUCGACUUGCUUGAUGGAGCGCUAUCGC